RNA transcript from Ziziphus jujuba (common jujube), 1714 nucleotides. RefSeq lists it as uncharacterized. The transcript is spliced from 3 exons. The record is from RefSeq and is a predicted model, not a curated record. Lineage: Eukaryota; Viridiplantae; Streptophyta; Magnoliopsida; Rosales; Rhamnaceae.
UCAAGUUUACAUUUCUGGCUAUUUUUCAUAAAAACCCUUUCGUUGGUUCUGCAGAAAAUUUCCUUUUAGUUUAAACCCUAAAACGGAACUGCCUCGUAAAACCCUUGUUCAGAAGAAGGUGAAGAAUGAAAGGAGGGUCUGUGUUGAGAACUGUUUCUUUCUACGCGCGCAAUUGCCUUCUCCGUCUUCCCACCACCAUUACGAAAACUCCUCCUCCUUCCUCACUCAUCCCACUCGCCUCCUCGAGUCGGACCGGACUCAGCUUCUACUCGUCCGGAAGAUCGGUUCCAUCUGAAAUCCAUGAGAAGAACGAUCCCGCAGAUUCUGCCGAUGACGUCACCGGAAAAGAGCUGAAAAAGCGAGUAGAAAAGUACUUUGAUGGGGAUGAGGAGGCAAUACCAUCGAUUUUUGAAGCAAUUUUGGAGAGGAAGUUGGCAAAGCUGGAAGGGAAGCUUGAUGAGAAAGAUGAAGAAUUGGUGGAAAAAAUCUUUGGGAAGAGGGAAGAGCUGCAUGGCGAUUCCGAAGACCAUGAAGAUUUCGAAUCCGAAUCCGAUUCCGAUUCAGAUUAACUUUUCAGAGACUGACGAGGAAAUUUGAUGUUCUGGGUGUUGCAAGGCAUAUUUCUGACAAGUAAAUGAGCUGAAAAAGCAUGAGGGGGAUGAGGAGGCAAUAACAUCAAAUUUUUCCCGAGAAAAUUAGCAAAAUUGCUACAGAACGAGAGCCUCUCUGAUCGACUCCCCUGAGAGGACUAUUGACUGAACUGGUGAAGCAAGUUGCUCAAAUUGCUCCUUCCUGUCCAAACGCAUAGACUCUCCCCAAGGGCCCAUAACAUAAAACCAUUUUCUUCUCGCCAAUUCUAGCUAACGACUUUUCUGGCAGUAAUCAGCAAGCUGAAUCAAAGCUAUGCUAGGAUGAGAAGCAAGGUAAAAAAAUUUGGGAGUUUGAGAACAAGGUUUGACAAGGUACAUGUAAUUAAGCUCUUCCAAACGAGGCGGGGGUGACCACUAUUAACCCAAAAGAGCAUAAAAAUCCAACUCAAGUUUAUUUUAUAUACACUAAGUCAAGUCUUGUUUGCAGACUUCCAAGUCUUUUUUACCUUGUUCCUUGUCCUAGCUUUGAGCCCAGUUUGCUGACUGCUACAAGAAAACUGCUAGCCUGAAUUGGGGGAGAGAAAUGGUUCUAUGUAACUAGUCGUUGGGGAGAGUCUUAUCUCUUUGGAGGAAAGGGCAAUGUGUGCACCCUUGGGGGAAAACUCAACCAAAGGGGCUUCUGGUGGUUUGUGAUACUCCUAGAAGCGUGAUGAGACAGAUGAAGAGUUAAUUGAAAACAUCUGAUGGAAGAGGGAAUACUGCAUAGCGAUUCUGUAAGUCCUGGACAGUGAAGCAUACCCAGGGAAUGGACGACAAAAAGCGUAGGGCAAAUAAUUUGAUCUGAGUAACAGAAAGAUUGGCAAAGGUUUUGCUCAAGUGGAUAUGAACAAUGAAGUUUGGUCAGCAGCAGCAAACAAUUCCAUGUAGAAAUUUAAGAAAACCUACUCAACUAAAUGUGCCAGCAUACCAUAGAUAAUAGAAGUUCCAUGAGUUAUUCUUUAAUGCAACUACUUGCAAAACAAGGCAUAUAUAUUAAAUAGCUCAUUGAUCAACUGUGCUUUUUUGGGGAGGUCUUGAUCAAACUGCAUAGUUUAUCGGCAUCAAUACAAUAGCAAAAUUAUAUG